Molecule: transfer RNA, 76 nt
Filed under: Hydrogenophaga aromaticivorans
Lineage: Bacteria; Pseudomonadati; Pseudomonadota; Betaproteobacteria; Burkholderiales; Comamonadaceae
Description: tRNA-Phe
Rfam family: tRNA
About the family: Transfer RNA (tRNA) molecules are approximately 80 nucleotides in length. Their secondary structure includes four short double-helical elements and three loops (D, anti-codon, and T loops).
Source: RNAcentral
GCUUCUGUAGCUCAGCCGGUAGAGCGCUGCGUUGAAAGCGCAGGCGUCGGUGGUUCGAUCCCGCCCGGAAGCACCA